CCUACGGGUGGCAGCAGUGGGGGAUAUUGCACAAUGGGGGAAACCCUGAUGCAGCGACGCCGCGUGUGGGAAGACGGUCCUCUGGAUUGUAAACCACUGUCACCAGGGACGAAGAUGACGGUACCUGGGGAGGAAGCUCUGGCUAACUACGUGCCAGCAGCCGCGGUAAUACGCGGGGAGCAAGCGUUUUCCGGAUUUACUGGGUGUAUACGGAGCGUAGGGGGGAUGGCAAGGUGGGUGUUAAUUCUACCGGCUCAACUGGUAGUCGCCCUCCAAACUGCUAUUAUUGAGUGAAGUAGAGGCAGGCGGAAUUCCUAGUGUAGCGGUGAAAUGCGUAGAUAUUAGGAGGAACACCAGUGGCGAAGGCGGCUUACUGGACUGUAACUGACGUUGAGGCUCGAAAGCGUGGGGAGCAAACAGGAUUAGAUACCCCAGUAGUC
RNAcentral lists this ribosomal RNA (440 nucleotides) under uncultured bacterium. RNAcentral's name for it is "partial 16S ribosomal RNA". It matches the Rfam family "Bacterial small subunit ribosomal RNA", at positions 338 to 795 of the family's 1533-position model. The record is from RNAcentral.